AAUUGGAGGGCAAGUCUGGUGCCAGCAGCCGCGGUAAUUCCAGCUCCAAUAGCGUAUAUUAAAGUUGUUGCAGUUAAAAAGCUCGUAGUUGAAUUUCGGGGUUAGUAGGCUGGUCGUGCCACAGGUAUGAACUGGUCUUACUGACUUCUCCUUUCUGAAGAACUGUAAUGCCAUUAAUUUGGUGUUGCAGGGGAACAGGACUGUUACUUUGAAAAAAUUAGAGUGUUUAAAGCGGGCUAACGCUUGAAUACAUUAGCAUGGAAUAAUGAAAUAGGACGUUCGAUCCUAUUUUGUUGGCUUCUAGGAUUGACGUAAUGAUUAAUAGGGAUAGUUGGGGGCAUUAGUAUUCAAUUGUCAGAGGUGAAAUUCUUGGAUUUAUUGAAGACUAACUACUGCGAAAGCAUUUGCCAAGGAUGUUUUCAUUAAUCAAGAACGAAAGUUAGGGGAUCGAAGACGAUCAGAUACCGUCGUAGUCUUGACCAUAAACUAUGCCGACUAGGGAUCGGAUGAUGUUAAUUUUUUAGUGACUCAUUCGGCGCCUUACGGGAAACCAAAGUGU
RNAcentral lists this ribosomal RNA (559 nucleotides) under uncultured Glomus. Its description in RNAcentral is "SSU rRNA". It matches the Rfam family "Eukaryotic small subunit ribosomal RNA", at positions 546 to 1106 of the family's 1831-position model. The record is from RNAcentral. Lineage: Eukaryota; Fungi; Glomeromycota; Glomeromycetes; Glomerales; Glomeraceae.